Molecule: non-coding RNA, 285 nt
Organism: Vicia faba (fava bean)
Lineage: Eukaryota; Viridiplantae; Streptophyta; Magnoliopsida; Fabales; Fabaceae
Source: the annotation of a GenBank genome assembly
AUGCUGAUGGACUUGCACAUUCGGAUGAAAAGCUUGGUGCUGCGAGUUAUUCUAGGAAGAAUCAAAAGGGGUUUACCUUUCAAAGGGUAUCAGACGAAUAUGAAGGAAGAUGAAGAAAUGAUGACAGCCGCGGCGGAUGGAAUCAGAGCAACGCAAGGAUCGGGCACUGUUGAUGAAGGCGAAGAAGAGACGAAGCAACACAGGCGAGGAAGUGACGAUGGUGAGCGGCUUCGGAGGAAGAAACGGAAGCGAGGUAGAGAUGAUGAACAGGGGGGCGGAAACUGA